GACGAACGCUGGCGGCGUGCUUAACACAUGCAAGUCGAACGGAAAGGCCCUGCUUUUGUGGGGUGCUCGAGUGGCGAACGGGUGAGUAACACGUGAGUAACCUGCCCUUGACUUUGGGAUAACUUCAGGAAACUGGGGCUAAUACCGGAUAGGAGCUCCUGCUGCAUGGUGGGGGUUGGAAAGUUUCGGCGGUUGGGGAUGGACUCGCGGCUUAUCAGCUUGUUGGUGGGGUAGUGGCUUACCAAGGCUUUGACGGGUAGCCGGCCUGAGAGGGUGACCGGAUGUAGUAGAACUGUCGAGAGGCGAGGACGCAUGCAGGAGGAAGCGGUGGGAAAUACUGAACAAGGAGCGGACGACUGAGGCGGAACCGCGGGGGGCGGGAUGAGGUCUGUCGUGUUCAAAGCCGUCUUCGUGUGAGACGAGGGGGAGGGGAGGAAGAGGGGAAAAGAGGCCCCGCCUAACUAGGUGCCGCCACCGGGGGCAGAGAUGGAAUAGCAAGCGUAGAACC
Molecule: ribosomal RNA, 508 nt
Filed under: uncultured bacterium
Lineage: Bacteria
Description: partial 16S ribosomal RNA
Rfam family: Bacterial small subunit ribosomal RNA (bases 12-371)
Source: RNAcentral